RNAcentral lists this long non-coding RNA (732 nucleotides) under Rattus norvegicus (Norway rat). RNAcentral's name for it is "long non-coding RNA NONRATT012468". Lineage: Eukaryota; Metazoa; Chordata; Mammalia; Rodentia; Muridae. The record is from RNAcentral.
GUAGAGAAGCAUGUGAAUGACGCAGUUGCCAAAGGGGCCACGGUUGUGACAGGCGGGAAGCGACACCAGAGCGGAGGGAAUUUCUUCGAACCCACCCUGCUCAGCAACGUCACCAGGGACAUGCUCUGCAUCACCGAGGAGACCUUUGGGCCGCUGGCGCCAGUCAUCAAGUACGUUCCUCCAGCAGUGGAAGGACAGAGAAGAUUGGAAAGGAAAAGCUAGCCUAAGAGAAGUUCCUGUGUCGUUUCAAAGGCUGGGUAGGAAGGCUGAGCAGCUGCUGUCAGAUUUAGAUUUGCAUACCAGAGUGAGUUUGUGACAUUUGGGGCUUGAUUUUGUGUGUUCAGAUGCACAGAUGGGUCAGCCCCGGGUGUUAUUACUUGGGAGCUGUCCACCUUAAACUUUGAGACAAGGUCUCUCACUGAAACCCACGGAUCCCCGGGGAAGAGUAGACUGGUUAGACGUGGGGUCACAAGCACAUGCCACCACAACUGAGUUUUCACACGGGUUCCGGGGAAUGGAACUCAGCCUUUACCGACAGAGCCAGAUCUCCCCAGCCCUAGCUCCAGUUGGUGUUUCUGUUUUGUCUUUGUUGGGUGCCAUGGAGGGUGGCUACUGUUGUUUUUAGGUUUGGGUGAGUGUGUGUCUGUCUGAAACAAGGUCUCCCUCUGUAAUCCAGGCUGGCUUUGAACUUUCAGCUUACUCGCUUUAGCCCCACCCCCCAUAGGCAUACAC